RNAcentral lists this ribosomal RNA (492 nucleotides) under uncultured bacterium. Its description in RNAcentral is "partial 16S ribosomal RNA". It matches the Rfam family "Bacterial small subunit ribosomal RNA", at positions 29 to 507 of the family's 1533-position model. The record is from RNAcentral.
AGUGAACGCUGGCGGUAGGCCUAACACAUGCAAGUUGAACGGCAGCACAGUAAGAGCUUGCUCUUACGGGUGGCGAGUGGCGGACGGGUGAGGAAUACAUCGGAAUCUACUUUUUCGUGGGGGAUAACGUAGGGAAACUUACGCUAAUACCGCAUACGACCUACGGGUGAAAGCAGGGGAUCUUCGGACCUUGCGCGAUUGAAUGAGCCGAUGUCGGAUUAGCUAGUUGGCGGGGUAAAGGCCCACCAAGGCGACGAUCCGUAGCUGGUCUGAGAGGAUGAUCAGCCACACUGGAACUGAGACACGGUCCAGACUUCUACGGGAGGCAGCAGUGGGGAAUAUUGGACAAUGGGCGCAAGCCUGAUCCAGCCAUACCGCGUGGGUGAAGAAGGCCUUCGGGUUGUAAAGCCCUUUUGUUGGGAAAGAAAAGCAGCAGGUUAAUACCCCGCUGUUCUGACGGUACCCAAAGAAUAAGCACCGGCUAACUUCGUG